CUACGUGCCAGCAGCCGCGGUAAUACGUAUGUCACAAGCGUUAUCCGGAUUUAUUGGGCGUAAAGCGCGUCUAGGUGGUUAUGUAAGUCUGAUGUGAAAAUGCAGGGCUCAACUCUGUAUUGCGUUGGAAACUGCAUGACUAGAGUACUGGAGAGGUAAGCGGAACUACAAGUGUAGAGGUGAAAUUCGUAGAUAUUUGUAGGAAUGCCGAUGGGGAAGCCAGCUUACUGGACAGAUACUGACGCUAAAGCGCGAAAGCGUGGGUAGCAAACAGGAUUAGAUACCCUGGUAGUCCACGCCGUAAACGAUGAUUACUAGGUGUUGGGGGUCGAACCUCAGCGCCCAAGCUAACGCGAUAAGUAAUCCGCCUGGGGAGUACGUACGCAAGUAUGAAACAUAAAGGAAUUGACGGGGACCCGCACAAGCGGUGGAUUAUGUUCUUUAAUUCGAUGAUAACCGAAGAACCUUACCAGGGCUUGACAUCCAG
This 487-nucleotide ribosomal RNA is filed under the name uncultured bacterium. Its description in RNAcentral is "bacterial SSU rRNA". It matches the Rfam family "Bacterial small subunit ribosomal RNA", at positions 501 to 991 of the family's 1533-position model. The record is from RNAcentral.